Molecule: long non-coding RNA, 206 nt
Filed under: Mytilus galloprovincialis (Mediterranean mussel)
Lineage: Eukaryota; Metazoa; Mollusca; Bivalvia; Mytilida; Mytilidae
Source: RNAcentral
GCAUUGUUAGCUUUUAUUUCGUAAUUUCAUUUCGUAUGAAAUAAUCAUAGAUAAUAUUUUUUUUUCUUGCUAUACUCUGUAUACUCUGUAAAUGUUUCCUUGAUGACAUGAAUGCUCCCAUUGAGCGUCCCUCACCUCAAAAUCGUCAUGAGUCCACAAUAUAAAUUGUUUCUUGGUCAAUUGUUGCAUCAUAAAUUGCUAUAACG